Molecule: transfer RNA, 65 nt
Filed under: Tropostreptus sigmatospinus
Lineage: Eukaryota; Metazoa; Arthropoda; Diplopoda; Spirostreptida; Spirostreptidae
Description: tRNA-Ile
Source: RNAcentral
AUUAGGGUGCCUGAGGAAAGGGUUAUUCUGAUAUUAUAAUUCACGUAUUUAUUUUACCCCUAAUA